Non-coding RNA from Salvia hispanica, 1147 nucleotides. NCBI's taxonomy places the organism in Eukaryota, Viridiplantae, Streptophyta, Magnoliopsida, Lamiales, Lamiaceae. The record is from RefSeq and is a predicted model, not a curated record.
AUGUUGAUCAACUAUGAGCUGCCAAUGAAGAAGCUUGUCAUGCAGCUCUGGGAUACUCUUAUAGCUCUAUCAAUUAAUAUUGGCAUGGUUUACCGUAGCCCCAAUCCUGCAUUUUCUGGAGAUUACAAUGAUAAAAGUUUCACAUGUGUUACUCAACAUGAAAAUAAGUGAGAUUUGUUGAUGAUACUGUGAAUGCAAUUAUCAUUUAUAGCUAAUCAGGAGACCUAUAUGAGGCGAAUGACGGCUUGUUUGUCAGCAGGUUUGUUUUAAAUAAAGGAGUCUGAAUUUGGCUUGCAAGAAUGCUGGGGCUGAUGGGUGUUAUGGAAUAGUGAUUAGCAUGGUUGUUGGAGGAGAAGUAGUGAUUCUGAAAAACCUUGAAGAGAGUAGUGGUCUUGUCAUAGCUGAAAUGCCUAUAAAUAUCUUUGAGAUGAUUUGAACUGUCAACCUGCUUGAAGUCUCUGAAGAAAUGUAUGGUUUGACACACAUGCCUUCUCAAAAGCACAGAUGAAAGUCUCUAAAUAAUUGAAGGUUUUGAUGUCAGAAGAAAUCCCAAGCACACCACCAAGAUGCCUUCUCACAGUGGUUUUUUUAACCCUAAUUUCUUCUGUGCAAAUAUGUACUUAAAUUCAAUUGAAUGACUCCCAAGUUUGUCAGUUAGAAAAGGAACAUCAUCAAAUUGCCUUGCUUUGUUGAUCAUCUUUUAGAAUAAAUAUCAUGUUGCUGACACUUCUUUCUGAGCUGCACAGAAAGAUGCGGCAAGAAUAAAUGAGAUGUCCAAUCUUUGGAGAUCAUGUCCAAAUUAGUAAAGUUGGUGUCUUGUUAAUUUGAUGGAUAAGCUACACUAGUAUCAAUUGGGGUAUAAAAAUUGACAGCAUGAUCACGAAACUUUAUGCCGAUGCUGGACCUGUUUCGAGCAACAAGACCCCAGAAGUGGGGAUGUGAUAAAGCAAGAUCAUGUCUGUCUUAAGGGAAGAAGGAGGACAUGAUGGUCCCUGUUUACUUGUGAUGAAAAUGGUAAUGAUUUUUGUAUUCUUCAUUUCAAGCAAUGAUACAUCCCUUUUUGUGGCCUACCCUCUUCUGCUCUCUCUGCUGUAUUGAAAGGAAUGCAUUAUAAAAGCAGUAGCUACUGAUAUUUCUUUGUUCUUCA